CCGUAAUGGUACGCGGAGGACAUUACCGAGUUUACAACUCCCAAACCCCUGUGAACAUACCUUAAUGUUGCCUCGGCGGAUCAGCCCGCGCCCGGUAAAACGGGACGGCCCGCCAGAGGAUCCAAACUCUUGCUGUUAUUGUAACUUCUGAGUAAAACAAACAAAUAAAUCAAAACUUUCAACAACGGAUCUCUUGGUUCUGGCAUCGAUGAAGAACGCAGCAAAAUGCGAUAAGUAAUGUGAAUUGCAGAAUUCAGUGAAUCAUCGAAUCUUUGAACGCACAUUGCGCCCGCCAGUAUUCUGGCGGGCAUGCCUGUUCGAGCGUCAUUUCAACCCUCAAGCCCCCGGGUUUGGUGUUGGGGAUCGGCAAGCCUUCUGGCGAGCCGCCCCCUAAAUCUAGUGGCGGUCUCACUGCAGCCUCCAUUGCGUAGUAGCUAACACCUCGCAACUGGAACGCGGUGCGGCCAUUGCCGUUAAACCCCCAACUUCUGAAUGUUGACCUCGGAUCAGGUAGGAAUACCCGCUGAACUUAAGCAUAUCAA
This 542-nucleotide ribosomal RNA is filed under the name Fusarium tricinctum. Its description in RNAcentral is "eukaryotic LSU rRNA". The stretch from base 174 to 327 matches the Rfam family "5.8S ribosomal RNA". The record is from RNAcentral. Lineage: Eukaryota; Fungi; Ascomycota; Sordariomycetes; Hypocreales; Nectriaceae.